GCUUCCUUAGCACAGUCGGUAGUGCGUCUCACUCGUAAUGAGAAGGUCGUCGGUUCGAGUCCGAUAGGGAGCU
RNAcentral lists this transfer RNA (73 nucleotides) under Lachnospiraceae bacterium. RNAcentral describes it as "tRNA-Thr". It matches the Rfam family "tRNA". Rfam says of the family: Transfer RNA (tRNA) molecules are approximately 80 nucleotides in length. Their secondary structure includes four short double-helical elements and three loops (D, anti-codon, and T loops). Lineage: Bacteria; Bacillati; Bacillota; Clostridia; Lachnospirales; Lachnospiraceae. The record is from RNAcentral.